RNAcentral lists this transfer RNA (73 nucleotides) under Felis catus (domestic cat). Its description in RNAcentral is "tRNA-Lys (CTT) (tRNA-Lys-CTT-16-1)". It matches the Rfam family "tRNA". Rfam says of the family: Transfer RNA (tRNA) molecules are approximately 80 nucleotides in length. Lineage: Eukaryota; Metazoa; Chordata; Mammalia; Carnivora; Felidae. RNAcentral also lists the same sequence under 4 other names. The record is from Rfam by way of RNAcentral.
GCCUGGCUGGCUCAGUCAGCAGAGCAUGAGACUCUUGAUCUCAGGGUUGUGGGUUCGAGCCCCAUGUUGGGUA